AUUUCACACCUUUUUCUGCUGUCUCUCUGUCAGUGACCAUCUUCACUUCCUGCAUUACGAAUAAACAAACAAACAAUUAUCUGCUUGUUGCAUGUACCAAUUCUCAAAUUAUCCCAAAACGUAUUUUCCAUAUGAACUAAUAAUAUGGAAAUUUAAUUGAAUAAUUUAAUUUCCAUAUUCAUUAAUAAUCAUUCAUUCUUAUUAAUACAGUACAUGUUUUCAUUAAUGACUGUGAGCAUGCUUCACUCCAGUGUCAUGUGCCAUAUUACUAACAGUGAUAAAAACAGUCAUUAGUUUUAAUAAGUUUUGUCUUUUCUGUAGGAAGAAGAGAAACUUCAACACACUCGAGAACAGACACAACACCUCCAUCAGAACCACCUCAGAGUAAACCAACAAACUCUCCACCUGCAUCAUCCUCAACAACACUGGAACAAGAUAAACAGCAAACACACAGCAGCCUCCCUCUAGUUUUCGGCAUUCUGGUGGUUUUACUGCUGGUGAUACCCGGAGUAGUGGCAUUUAUUUGUUGGAAACGCAAAGGAGGAAGAUGUGGAGAGAACGUGAUUACUGAAGGACGUCCGGACUGUAAGAGAAAGCAGAAGGAUCAGAUUGAACCUGGUGUUACUUACUCUACUGUAACCCACGUGAACACAGCCGGAGCAGCACGGGUCCAGAUCAACGCUGGAGACAAAACUGAAUAUGCCAGCAUUCUAACAAUCUAAUCCACAGUAAAUAUCUAGAAUAAUACUGAAUACAUGCAGUAUAUUAAAUACACACCAUGGGAAGCAUGAUAAACAUGUUACUGUGACUUUUUUUUAUUUGACCAUAAAUAGCAGAUUUAAUCAUAUUUGUGUGCUGAUGGAUAAUCCUGCAAAUUCUAUUUUUAAUGUUUGUGUCAUUUAUUAUCAUUUAUUAUUUUGUAUAAUUUGUUUUUUUUAUUUACAUUUAUGACAUUUAGCAGACGCCCUUAUCCAGAGCGACUUACAUUUAUCUCAUUUAAACAGCUGAUCAAUUGAAGGUUAAGGGCCUCGCCCAAGAGUCUAACAAUGGUAGCUUGGCAGUGCUGCGGCUUGAACUCCUGACCUUCUGAUCAGUAACCCAGAGACUUUAACCACUGAGACACCACUUAUAUGUUCUAGAAAUCUUUUGUCAUCACCCUCUUUUGCGUAAUACGACUGCCUUAGAAGUUCUUGUUUGUGACUGUUGUGGGAAAGUCUCUCUGGACUGAAUGUGUGUUUCUAAACUAGUUGUGGUGAAAUUGUUGUGAAAACGGUCCUUAUAGCAUGUUAAAUGGUGCAUGAUAGUGUGCUUGUUGAGUGUGGAGUAUCACACAGUAUUCUCUGUGCAUGGCAAAACUGUCAUUAACUUUGAGAAAGAGGAAGUAGCCAUUUUCCCAUCAGUCUCCACUGCCCUGACCACAGUCUCGUGGUACCCCUGACAUGCUGAGUGUCUCACAGUGGCUCUGAAGUACCAUGAGAACGCUAGUUAUGCAUGCAACUGUGGUUUUAUAAACUGCUAAUACUUGUCAGAGGCGUGUGUAUGACCUUGCAACAAAGUCAUAAAGUGACAUGAUUGUAAUUUAGCAUCCUGCAGAAUCUUGUAAAUAGGGACCUUAAAGGACUCAAGCACAUGUGAGGAGGGGAAUUGCUGUUACACCUGCUGCCGGUCCUUAAUAAUGUCUGCCACUUGUCAGAGUGGUAGUGAACCAGCCUCAUGCUGAUGAAUUGUGCAGCUUCUUCCACUGUGAGACCAAGUGCUGGAAAUAGGCAUUGUGCAUGAACCGCUGACAUGAACCAAUCCUGUGGUUGCAUGGCAUAGAUUACAUCUGACACCCUUAGCAUUCAGUGUUUAAGUAUGUGCAAAUCUCACUUUGCUGGAACAUAACAUCCUCUUUUCCAUAAAGAGAAGAAGAGAAGAAAACAUAUGGACUAUGGCUUAUAUACAGCAUGGUAUAGGGUUAAUUUAUUUAUUAAUUCAUCUUCAGUAACUGUUUUAUCCUGGUCAGCGUCGUCAUGGAUUCGGACUCUAUCCCAGCAACACUGGGCACAAGGUGGGAGAAUUCAGAUGGGACGCCAGUCCAUCUCAGAGCACCAUUCACACACAUUCACUCCCAGGGGCAAUCUAACAUAGUAAACCGGCAUGUUUUUAGACAGUGGGAGGAAACCGCACACACAAACACAAGGAGGACGCGCAAACCUCUGCACAGACAUUAACAUGGUUUCAUUUAAGGAUCUAUAAGGAUCUUGUUGACUACACAAUCAUGUCUACACUCUUUUAUUUUUUAAGUCUUCCAGGCAUCUCACCAGGUCUUAAACAUUUAAGGUCUAAAUGUUUUUUGUUUUCUUUACAUUAAGUUUCUCGUUGUUCUUAGGUUUGCUUAUGCACACACUUCUUAAAUAAUAUAAUAUUCUCAUCAUUUGAAAAUAUAUUAAAGCUUUUACUUGAAAUAUUUGUAAAAUUCCUGUACCUUGUUUGUAGCUUAUACAUUUUCAUACUAUUUGCAGUGAUAAAAAUAAAUAAAAAAAUUACAGUGGAGCAUGAUAUUUGAAAGUUUUAUUGUAGCACAAUCACAUCCCUAAUAUUUUCACAUAAAUAAACACAUUUCAAGCACAGAAUUUUGUCAGAAUCAUAACGGAUUAAAAUUAUUAAACCAACAGCCACGGAUUUCUGGCUCCAAUAAUUACUACACACCACCAGAUGUCGCUGCGGUCUAAGUUUUCAAUGCUCCAAAACAUCAGCUCAAUCAGGAAGAAGUAUCAAGAAUUUUUUUUAUUAUUAGUUCACCAUUUUGUGAAAUCUUAUUUAUACAUGGAAAAAGUUUGAUUGAAAUGUAACUUCUUUAAAGAUUUGUAACUAAUAUGCAAUUAUUUAAAACUCAUUUGUUAGUAGAGGAGGACCUUAUGAAAGUCAUUUUCUGCUUGCUGUAAAUAAAGGAUCAAAAUUGCUCUUAUAACAAACUAGGCUGAAUAACAUUAAUAUGAGACAAGCUGGGAGAGAAAACUAUGUUUUGAUUCAAUCAAACUUUUUAUCCCUCAGAUAAAUAAACAAUUUAGAGAUAAAUGUGGAGCAGAUUUUACCAUUAAAGAAUUGAACCACGCAGUUAACUGCCUUUGAAAAAUUGACAAAUCUCUUGGGCUUGAAAUACAAUCUGCCAACUUUUACAGAUAUUUCUGGAGCUCCUUAUGAGAACUUUAUUGUUCACACUUUUUAAGCCAGAAAAAAAAUGAAACAUUAGAAAAUAAUCACCCUAUAACUCUGUUAAACACAUAUAUACAUAAUACAUAAAAUGUAGACUCAUAUCUAUGCUUCUCAUUUAAAGAAAAAGGUCCGACACAGGUAAUCAGUGAGACACAAUCUGGCUUUAUGAGACUGAGAUCAAUACAUCAUAAUAUCCGUUUAGUACAAUAUCUUCCUGUUGUUAGUGGUGAGGUUGCAGACGAUGGGUUUGUUCUGUUUCUUGACUUUCACGAAGCUCCUGAUACAACAGAGCAUCAGUUUAUGGUUACAGCACUUACGCUAGAUUAUUGAAACUAUAUUAUAACGCAAAU
Molecule: long non-coding RNA, 3548 nt
Organism: Ictalurus punctatus (channel catfish)
Lineage: Eukaryota; Metazoa; Chordata; Actinopteri; Siluriformes; Ictaluridae
Exons: 4
Source: RefSeq, a predicted model, not a curated record